RNAcentral lists this long non-coding RNA (307 nucleotides) under Gossypium barbadense (sea-island cotton). RNAcentral's name for it is "long non-coding RNA (GBAR_LNC005711)". The record is from RNAcentral. Lineage: Eukaryota; Viridiplantae; Streptophyta; Magnoliopsida; Malvales; Malvaceae.
AAUUAUCGCUGAAAAUAUAUUAAGAUCACAAGCUUCAAAUUUUUUAACUAAAAUGCCAGAAUAAAAGAAGGGGCGGAAGUUGGGGUCGAGGAAAAUAUUUUUUGCUUAUAGAGGCAAAAGUAAACUUUAUUUAAUACCACACAUAGUCACUACAAUAACACUAAAAUGGCAUAGUCGAAUAUCAGAACCAGAGAAACUCACCUGAUUUCGAUUCCCAGACCAACAGGAUAUCUCACAUUCCCUUAAUUCUGAUUGAUAAACCGGAAAACUCAACAUGAAGUCCAUAACAGCUCUCUUUCGAGGCAAC